UAUUUAUAUAGUUUAAAUUAAAACUUUACAUUUUCAUUGUAAAAAUAAAAAAAAUUUUUUAUAAAUAU
Molecule: transfer RNA, 68 nt
Filed under: Trichoplusia ni (cabbage looper)
Lineage: Eukaryota; Metazoa; Arthropoda; Insecta; Lepidoptera; Noctuidae
Description: tRNA-Glu
Source: RNAcentral